AUGAGAAUAUUAAAUUUAAGUAAAUUUUAAGAAAUAAAAUAUUAAAUUAUAAAGAAAAUAUUGAAUAAGAAAUUUAAAUUUUAAUAAUUAUUAUAUUUAAAGAUUAAUUAAUUUUUAGUAUCUUUUGUAUCAGGGUUAAUUAAAAAAUUUUAUUUAAAAAUAAAUUUUUCGAAUUUAAUUGAUUUAAAAUUUUAUUAAAGUUAAAAUAUUAAAUUUAUUUUAAAUAAAAUUUUAGAAAUUAAAUGUUAUUCGAAAUUAAAAAUAUCUAAUUUUUUAAUAAUUGAAUUUAAUUCAAAAAUUUUAUUAUAUUUAAAUUUUAAUUAAUAAAAAUAAGUUUAUAAAAAUUUAAAUAUUUUAAGGGUUAAACUUUAAAAUUAAUAAUUAAAAAUUUAAGGUGUAUAUUAUUUAUUAAAAAUAUAAUUUAAAAUUUUAUUUUUUUGAAAAAAUGUAAUAAUUUAUAAAAAUAUAAAUAAUUAAAAUUUAGUUUAAAUAUAUUUUAUAUAUAUAUAUAUAUAUAUAUAUAUAUAUAUAUAUAUAUAUAUAUAUAUUAUUAUUAUUAAAAUAUAAAUAAAAAUUUAAAAAAAUUUAAAAAUAAUGAUUAAAUUAGUAAAUUAAGAUUAAUUAAUAAAUUAAAGUUAAAAAUUAUAAAUAAUUUUAAAUAAUGAAUUUAGCAAAUUAAUAAUAUUUACCUGUUUAAUAAAAACAUGUCUUUAAAAUUAUUUUAUUUAAAGUCUAAUCUGCUCAAUGAAUAAAUAUUUAAAUAGCUGCAAUAUUUUAAUUGUGCUAAGGUAGCAUAAUAAUUUGUCUUUUAAUUAAAGAAUGGAAUGAAUGAUUUAAUAAAAUAUAAACUUUAUUAUUUAAAUUAGAAUUAAAUUUUAUUUUUAAGUAAAAAAUCUUAAAUAAUUUUAUUAGACGAAAAGACCCUAUAAAAUUUUAUAAAUUUAAUUAUUAUUAUAUAGUUAUUAAAUUUAUUUUUUUGGGGUGUAUAAAUAAAUUAAAAUAAUUUUAUUAAAAAUUUUUAUAUAAAUUUAUAAAUAUUAUAUAUAAAAGAUUGGUUAAUUUAUAUUAAUAGAUUAAAUUACUUUAGGGAUAACAGCAUAAUUUUUUUAAAGAGUUCUUAUUGAUAAAAAAGUUUAUGACCUCGAUGUUGAAUUAAAAUAAAUAUAAAAAGAAGAAUUUUUAAGAUUAAGUCUGUUCGACUUUUAAAAUUUUACAUGAUUUGAGUUAAAAUCGGUGUAAGCCAGAUUGGUUUCUAUCUAUAAAUUUAGUGAUUAAUUAUUUGUACGAAAGGACUUUAAUUAUAAAAUUGAAUAAAAUUUUAAAAUAGAAUUAAAUUAAAAUGAUAAAUAAAUUUAUUAAAA
This 1361-nucleotide ribosomal RNA is filed under the name Endecameris sp. ZJUH 20220006. RNAcentral's name for it is "16S ribosomal RNA". The record is from RNAcentral. Lineage: Eukaryota; Metazoa; Arthropoda; Insecta; Hymenoptera; Figitidae.